Molecule: long non-coding RNA, 984 nt
Organism: Cyprinus carpio carpio
Lineage: Eukaryota; Metazoa; Chordata; Actinopteri; Cypriniformes; Cyprinidae
Source: Ensembl
AAAGUUCUUUGUUUUAUUUCAGCCGAUACGGCGAGAGAGUUGGAGCGUUUGGGCGAGUACAGAGGAAAGAAGGCAGAGGAUAUUGUUGGCUGGGCAAAGACGGAGACAAGGGUUUGGCAGAAACAGACACCGGGCUGAGUAUAUUGGAAUGUCUACUUAACUGUGAAAUGCUCCAUGGACAUGUGUAACAAAUUCUGAGUGGUUGAAAACAGGAAGACUCACCGGAAGUAUCGCCGAAGGAGGCCUUUUCGACAGGGCACGUGGCAGCAGGAGAAGUAUCCAGGAGCUGGAAAGAAGAGGGAAAAGAGACCUCGUGUAGUAACGGUGUGAGUACCCUAAACCAUCGUACAGCAGUAUAAUCAUCUAGAGUGAACCAUCUGUGAGCGUUUUGUGAGUUUGUGGCAUAGUAUGUGAGCGGCCCCACCGUGGAGGAGGAUUGUGGGUGAGCCGGGACCAGUGAGUGAGAGAGGAUGUUGGGCUGUUGUGGCGGCAACGUUUAAAUCUGAAUAUUCGUGGCAUCAGUGUCUUCACGACUCCCAGGAAGAGUCUUUGGUCAGACGGGGUGUUGACCCUAAAUUCACCAGAGUGUGUGGAGUGCAGUGGGCCCGACGAAAUCCUGUGAAGGAAGUGAAUACCGAGGCGGGCGAAGAAAACAUCUCCAACUAUAUGCCGUCGAUGACAUCCUGACCCUUCUUCCCCACGUGACGGUGGUGGGAAACAAUUUCAAAAAGAAGAGGGAAGCGUUCGACCCAUCCAGUGUAGUACACCCCGGGUGAGACAACUUACCUGUGUGUGACGCCAGCGGAGGCCGUGUUCGGCCCAACGCAACAGUUUUCGAUCCGCCUCUCUAUCAGCAGUUGGUAGAAGCCUCAGAAAAGGAACGUCUGACGUCUAUUCCCUCGAAGAUCUAGCGGGUCCCUUUGAAGCGUCUACCUGCAUGUCGACUCGUCACUCAGGAUACAGAGACCGUGGAAACCCCCCCCC